AAGCUACAGUCUCAGAUUGAUUUAUAGUUCAUCGUUGGGAAUGAGUUCGCUGCUCAUUAUGCUGCUCAUGAUGAUGUUUCGGAUGUUGCGGCCCUAGCUGAAAUUGUUGAAGCUCGCCCUGAUGCCAGUAUCCUGUAGCACUCUGUCACUUUUGAAUCAGCAUGUUCGGCGAUGGAGUUUGCAGAACAUCAGCAAAAGCGGCUGGCCACCCUUCAACCGUUGGUCCAAGCAACGUGCUUCUCUAAAUCAGUUGCAGUGCGGGCAGCUUCUAGUGGGUUGGUGAUGAAGAACUUUGUCUUGUCCUACAAACGAAGUGGUGAGUCAGCCAGUUCCAGACUGAUGAAGGAGCAAGUCGGAGGAAAUGACGACCUGGAUCCCAUCGUCAACCAAAGUGUACAUUUUUCGGUGUUGAUAUCAUCUUAGUAAAUACCUCGAACAGUCUGUGUAAUUUUAUGUCAUAUUUUCUGUCCUAUCUGGUGUUAUGGACGAUUUCUCAUCAAUUUUCGGAUUUUGCGAUAUUGUGUGUUAUCAAGGAAAAUUGUGUUUUUGGCAAGACCUAUUCAGGCAAUUGGAAAACUGAUGUUACUAAGUGAAAAUAUAAGGCUGUACCUAUUCAAACCUGAUGUCAGAUUGGGCUGAUGUUGAAAUUAAAUUUUUGGGCCUAACUGUCCCCAACCCCCUUAAC
Sycon ciliatum is the source of this 685-nucleotide long non-coding RNA. RefSeq lists it as uncharacterized. The record is from RefSeq and is a predicted model, not a curated record. NCBI's taxonomy places the organism in Eukaryota, Metazoa, Porifera, Calcarea, Leucosolenida, Sycettidae. The transcript has 2 exons.